Molecule: non-coding RNA, 349 nt
Organism: Caenorhabditis elegans
Lineage: Eukaryota; Metazoa; Nematoda; Chromadorea; Rhabditida; Rhabditidae
Source: Ensembl
UUUUCUUUUAAGGCACUCCACAAAAAUCCACAAAAACUAACAGAGCGAGUUAUCAAAUAUUUGAUAUUUGAUAACAUGUUCCUCAUUUCUCAUGCUUGAAGCUUCACAAAAGGUGCAUGAAGAGAGUGCUGGAGGCAAAAGCUCGCGUUUUGAAUUUUCAUGAAAAUUUAAUGAGAAUGGUGUCAAAAAAGACGAAAUAGUAGGAAAAUUUGGAGAGGAUUGGAGCCACCACAGGAAAGAGCUUGCAAAUUUCCAAUUUUAGGUGACCCGAGAGAGUUGACACUAAAAACUGACGCGUUUUGGUGCUGGUGAAGAGUCAUUUGUGAGUCACACAACAAAAUAUAUAUAU